Molecule: long non-coding RNA, 388 nt
Filed under: Homo sapiens (human)
Lineage: Eukaryota; Metazoa; Chordata; Mammalia; Primates; Hominidae
Description: non-protein coding lnc-GPN2-1:1
Source: RNAcentral
AGUCUUGUCCCUUCACUCUGCAGGGCAUUGGGCGGAAGGUGAUGGAGCGGCAGGGCUGGGCUGAGGGCCAGGGCCUGGGCUGCAGGUGCUCAGGGGUGCCUGAGGCCCUGGAUAGUGAUGGCCAACACCCCAGAUGCAAGCGUGGAUUGGGGUAAGUGUGACUGAGGGACUUCCCUGGGGGCCCAAGCCUUUCAGCUAUGCCCUGGUUUCCCUCUUCCCACUGGUUUUGGCAUGGCUGCUGGGUACUCGUGCGGGAUGAAAUUCAAAACAGUUAAGAGGAAAAAGUGGAUCUGGGCCAGGCACGGUGGCUCAAGCCUGUAAUCCUAGCGCUUUGGGAGGCUGAAGCAGGAAAAUCGCUUGAACCCAGGAGGCAGAGGUUGCAGUGAGC